Molecule: ribosomal RNA, 251 nt
Filed under: uncultured prokaryote
Description: partial 16S ribosomal RNA
Rfam family: Bacterial small subunit ribosomal RNA
Source: RNAcentral
UACGGAGGAUGCAAGCGUUAUCCGGAUUUAUUGGGUUUAAAGGGUGCGCAGGUUGUUUGAUAAGUCAGUGGUGAAAGUCUGUCGCUUAACGGUAGGAUUGCCAUUGAUACUGUUGGACUUGAAUAUGGAUGAGGUAGGCGGAAUGUGUAGUGUAGCGGUGAAAUGCAUAGAUAUUACACAGAACACCGAUUGCGGAGGCAGCUUACUAAUCCAUCAUUGACGCUGAGGCACGAAAGCGUGGGGAUCAAACA